Xenia sp. Carnegie-2017 is the source of this 1536-nucleotide RNA transcript. RefSeq lists it as uncharacterized. The record is from RefSeq and is a predicted model, not a curated record. Lineage: Eukaryota; Metazoa; Cnidaria; Anthozoa; Malacalcyonacea; Xeniidae. The transcript is spliced from 4 exons.
UUGUCAUCAUUCAACACAAUGGUAAUGUGUGAGAUGAGACCAUUAGAGUCGGGGCGUUAGUGAGUAAGGGGGGGCGGUGGGUUUCGUACAAACCACGCUUCAAGAUGGGCGUUUAUUAGAUACAAGGCGUUUAUUUCAUAGAAGGCGUUUAUUGGAUCAAUAAUAUAAGCAAGAAGGCUUUUCGGUAAAUAAUUUCCGACCAGAUGACCCAGAGUCGAUAACUUUGAAAAGACAAUUUUUCCAUUUGUCAUUUCCAUAAAAGAAAGGUUCAGAAACAGCUUUAAAUCUUCAAGGGCUAGAAGGAUGCUGCAUGGAAUUUAAAGCAAUACAUAAUAUUCAAGUGGAUGGAUCACCAAUCAUGUUUCCAUUUUUCCAGAAGAAAGUGGUUUAGAACGUAGAAGAGAUGUGGUUGUGGGAGUAAUUUCUUCACGAGCUCAUCAACUGAUGUGUCAUUUACUACUGAAUGCAACAGAGAGAUUCCAUGCAAUCAAGAAUUUUGAAACGUUAUGAGGUUAUAACAAGAGUUGACUGUAUCAAGAUACUAAAAGUUCAUCUUUAGUAUGAACUUAUUUGACAUACCAGCUAUUUUUUUGGGUCCAUUACUUGUGAAAAUUGGUCAGCAAAGCUCACAAUAGUAUCGUUAAGUAUUCUUAAGUGGUGUUUUUGCAACGUUGAACAAAUAUAUUUUCUCUUGUGUACAGUUAUCAAAAAUUCUUUCAUAUUUGGAUAAAGUCAUUUUGUUUUAGGUUUGUAUUCAACUCAAAUCCCAUGCAAUCACGGAAUCGGCGCUCGACUGACAGCGAUACUUCAAUGCCGGUGCAUGCCGGGAUAGGCCGGAGACCGCAUUGUGUUAACCAUGCUAUCUUACCAAACUCACUUUUACCGCAAUUCUACCUGGGUUAUCUUCUUUAUUUGAGUAAAUUGUACAAGAUCAAGUCAUACUUUCAGUCACGUGCAUUCCUUACUGUGUCAAUAAUUACACAUCAACCGGAUGCUCUAAUCAAUACAGCGGUUUAUGUUCCCCCGUUUGUAAACGGGUUGUGUGCCCUGAUUGUCCAUCGAGAUGAUGUGGAAAGAAUACGCUUAUACCAAAAAACAUAGAAAGAUAUCCACCGCCUGAUUUUCGGUGUUUUGGACAAUGAUUGCAGGCUUAAGUUGUUUUGGAAAACGUCUUACGUCGGCGAUAGCGAUUUGAUGAAAUAAAAUACAGUCGUCAUCUGUAUGGUGAAGUGCUUUUUUAUUAAACGACUUACACUCAAAGAAACUGAUAAAAAAAUAGAAAAUUAACAACCAUUUCAACCAGUGCAAGAUUACGCUGUGUCAUUUAAAAGAAUGAAAUGGCUAAUGAAAUGUAUAUGGGAUGCAAAUCCAUUGUAGUCAAAAUUUUAGGACUUACAAAUGUAUAAAACAACCUAUUUUAGUUAUGUAAAAAAAUGAAGAAUGCAUAUAAAUUAUAAAUUUAAUUUACAUUACUAGGCAAAGCUCUUGUCAAUGGAAUGUAUUUCCUUCAAGAUUUAAUAGAACAAAAAUUCGUUA